AUGUAUUUACUUCUUAGUGUUACUGUGAAAUCAAAUUAUAUAAUGCAGCAUUGAAUUUGUAUUUUGAAAUGAUAGUUGAAAGUGUACAGAAUGUAUUGAAUGCUUUUAAUUGAAGAGUUUGCACAAAGGCAACUCUUGCUGAGCAGAUGUAACACGAUGUGUACUUUAGCUGAUGUUAUAGGUGAGGCACAUGAUUAAGAAAGGAUUUAAUGGAUAUACUAGUAAAGUUUGGUUGGGGGAUUAAUGAAUGUAGUUGAAGUAUUGAAUAUGGGAAGGCACAUAAGUUUGGUUGAAGGAUUCAUCUUGUUAAUCAAACUGCUUCUUCUUUCUUUGCAGAGAAGAAUCAAGAAUAUCUUCUACAUGCAUUCUACCCCUCUCUUUCUAUCUCUUUUUCUAUCUCUCUUUCUCUCUAUAUAUAUGCACACUGAGAUUGCUUCAGCUACUAAUUAUCAAGAUCAAGACCCAAUUUCAUAAAACCAGCCCAUAUCUCAAUUUUGUAACUAUAACUUCUAACUCAACAUCAUCAAUUUCUGUGAGAAAACAGCCACAAUUGUUGUAUCUUAGAUAGUCACAAAUCUAACAUGACGAAGAGAAAGAGAAGGAAGAAGAAGAAGAAGAAACAAAAUGGUUGUUGAAUCUUGAUUUGGUAUGAGCGGAAUCGGAAAUACUACCAGCUAAUCCAGAUUUAUCAACUCCAAGGGGUAGUCAUCUCCAAGACUACAAGGAAAAGAUGGAUCAGAUUUAAAGCAGAUACCGAGCAGCUCUUUACUCUUGGAAAGAGAGACCAGCGAAUCUUCGGAAUUGCGCAUCAGUUGCUCAGCUACAAAUCCUUCAAGUUGGUGUGCUGAAGAUCAGAAGCUACUCCAAAUUCAAGCUGGUUCUGGUGAUCAGCAGCUACUCCAAAGUCCAAAUUGCAGAAAAAGCUGCUCCAAACAAUGAGUAGUAGUCGUAUGUACAAGGUAGUGGCCAGUGCAGAAAUCAGUAUCUGUAAUUUUGUGAAUCCCUAAUACUACUAGUUGGAAUCACUAUCUGUAAUUUUGUGAAUUUUGUCCAUAAUCCGUGUUUAAACGAGCUUAGAUCACUGAAUGAAACUUGUUCGGAUUUAGUUUUCCA
Long non-coding RNA from Papaver somniferum (opium poppy), 1113 nucleotides. RefSeq lists it as uncharacterized. The record is from RefSeq and is a predicted model, not a curated record. The transcript is spliced from 3 exons. Lineage: Eukaryota; Viridiplantae; Streptophyta; Magnoliopsida; Ranunculales; Papaveraceae.